CCCCCCCCCCCAGUGACACGCACACUCACUCACAUGCAUGCAUACAUACAUGUGAGCACACCUACUAACCAAUGCGAGCCUGCACACAUGCUUGCACACCGACACACAAACAACCGGCUGGUACACUGACCUCCCCUCCGUCUUUGAAAUUAAUGACAGUGCAGGUUCUGCGUGUGCACGCAGCAGCAGCAGUCGUGUUGUGUUUCUCUUUCUGAGACAUCAGAUUUAGAUGAGAUAAGGUGGAGGAGCGGUGGGCGGCCUCGCAUAUGUCUGUUUACUAUAUGAAUCCCACCGAGGGGCCUCGCCGCCACAUCGACCCGUUCCUGUCGAACGACACGCACCAGCUCAGCUCUGCAAGCGAACGCAGAUUUGAAGACUUUGACUGAAGCGUCGGCGGCAAAGGACACACAUGAAAACCGUCCACCCAAUAAUGAACAUGGCAAGGUCAAGUAUAUCGCAUAAGGUCAACCUACAGGAAACACACAAUCAGGUUUUGUUCAUUCGAUAAUGCAAAGUGAUGCUUGAUUCUCUGCAUGACGGACGAUGCCAGGGGGAUGAAUACGUGGACGCCGUGAGCGGCUGGCACUGGUUUCCACCAGGCAGCCUCAUGAGAUCCCUCGUGGGCAGGAUGGUAGGAGGGUGAGAGGUGUGGGAGGUGGCGUCGAGAUUCACACCGUGUCACACACUUGCUUUCGGAAAUGUCACGUAUUCAUUUUCUUUUUUCAUUUUUCUUUCCAGAUCUGCUGAACCCGAAGAGUGUGGAGUGUGUUCAGACGCCGCGGUGGCGAGACGCCGGUGUAAGGACGCAGGACCGGAGAUCCUGCGGGAAGUCGUCAACACCGCUUCGGAGAUAACGGAGGAGAAGAAAGACGUGCGCACUCUGGAGCUCCUAUUUCCUCCUCUUCUGGCUCCUGGCGUUAACCUCGACCUAAACGUAUCCGAGCAUUUCACACUUUUUCUUUUCAAUCAUUUUCUCUUUUUUUUUUAGAAGCAAAGCACGUGUGACGGUUGUCUGCAGAUGUAAGUGCUAUUUAACAAACAGAGCUUCCCCCCCCAACAUGUUAACAUUGUCAUGAAUGCAAUGACACACGGAGGUGGAGACGAGGGGGCGGCCUGGCACCGGUUGUGCGGCGGCGGCGGCGGCGGCACGGUAAUGAAUGGCUAAUGUGCUGCGGCAGAGGAGUCGCAGAGGAGUCGUUAAUCCUAAUUCCCUUUCGCGCAGAGCAGGGCACUGUGUCCUGAGCCUGUUAAUCUGAACCCUUUAAACCUUUAAUCUGGGAGGCUGUCGCGCGUGCACGCACACACGCACACACGCACACACGCACACACACACACACACGCACACACACACACACACACACACACACACACACACACACACACACACACACACACACACGCACACACGCACGCACACACGCACACGCACACAAACGCAGGCACUUGAAUUGCUAUUAUUGUGAGGACACUCAUUGACAUAAUGCUUUCCCUAACCCCUUAACCAUCUCGACUAAAUGCCCGAUACCCCAACCCUAAGAGGCAUCCAUGCAGGUAAUAUUUCGAAAGCGGGCCUUUGACCCAGGCCUCUGGAUUGAGACUUUUCCUGGAUCCAAUUCACCAACAUCUCGAGGACGGACGGCAACUUCCCUCCUUGAAUAAAAAAAAACAAAAAACACAUCAAAAUCUUACAUGCAUGUAUUUUGUUUAGACAUGUUUAGGUGGUUGGGCAUAUACGGGGGUCUCUGUGUGUACACAUGGGAGCAUGAGAGUGUGUGUAUGCACAUAUCAUAUAUAAUAUGUGUAUAUAUAGACUUGUUGGUGUACGUGCAGACGUAUAUGUGCAUUUUCGUUCUGCUCCCUGCCCGUAGAUUUCUCACACGCUCCCUUCCACAACCAGGUCCCUGGAUCAUUACCGCAUCAUUUUUCUAUUAUAACCAUGAAAACGUGCAAAAUGAAAUUCUUCUAUAAGAAAAUCGCAGGAAGAAAAACUCGGUGCACUCUCUGACACUAAAACCAGUAAGUCUCCAAAUAUCCUGACUUCACCCAAAAUGUCCUCGCUCCGCGGGGGCUCAAUAGUCAAACCGGCCCUCGCAAAGAUAGCAGAACAAGGACGCGCGCGCACACACACACACACACACACACACACACGAUAGCUACAGACACAUACAACCUGUCACCGCCUUGUAAAAGCACUGCACUGUACCUGCCACACCUCCCUCCCUCCCUCCCUCCCUCCCUCCCUCCCUCUCUCUCAGAGACACAUGUGACAUAUUGAGCGCCUGCAGCGAGAUUCUUCCCCAUGAGCGGCAUUCCAGAGCAGGCGGUCCCAGGGGAGCAGGGAAGUGGGGCCGGGCAGUGGCGGGUCUGCGGGCGGUGAAGAGGAGGAGGAGGAGGAAGAGGAGGAGGGGGGUGUGAGUGGCCGGACAGAGUGACCUGACCUGGAAUGCUGGGGCCGUAACCAGGCAACAUCCAUCCUGGAAACGACACUUUUUAAAACGAUCGCCGUCCAGGCAAG
Scophthalmus maximus (turbot) is the source of this 2515-nucleotide long non-coding RNA. RefSeq lists it as uncharacterized. The record is from RefSeq and is a predicted model, not a curated record. NCBI's taxonomy places the organism in Eukaryota, Metazoa, Chordata, Actinopteri, Pleuronectiformes, Scophthalmidae. The transcript is spliced from 3 exons.